CCACUUUAGUUCAGUGGUAGAAUGGCCCGCACGGUUUGAUAUAUUCGAUCGCGGGAGACCGUGGGUUCGAUUCCCGCGGGGUGCC
This is a non-coding RNA of Mycena epipterygia, 85 nucleotides long. The record is from the annotation of a GenBank genome assembly. Lineage: Eukaryota; Fungi; Basidiomycota; Agaricomycetes; Agaricales; Mycenaceae.